This 253-nucleotide ribosomal RNA is filed under the name uncultured bacterium. Its description in RNAcentral is "partial 16S ribosomal RNA". It matches the Rfam family "Bacterial small subunit ribosomal RNA", at positions 526 to 779 of the family's 1533-position model. The record is from RNAcentral.
CGGAGGGUGCAAGCGUUAUCCGGAUUCACUGGGUUUAAAGGGUGCGUAGGUGGAGUGGUAAGUCAGUGGUGAAAUCUCCAAGCUUAACUUGGAAACUGCCGUUGAUACUAUCAUUCUUGAAUAUCGUGGAGGUAAGCGGAAUAUGUCAUGUAGCGGUGAAAUGCUUAGAUAUGACAUAGAACACCGAUUGCGAAGGCAGCUUGCUACACGAUCAUUGACACUGAGGCACGAAAGCGUGGGAUCAAACAGGAUU